GAUUUUGGAGGGCAAGUCUGGUGCCAGCAGCCCCGGUAAUUCCAGCUCCAAUAGCGUAUAUUAAAGUUGUUGCAGUUAAAAGCUCGUAGUUGAAUUUCGGGGUUAGUAGGUUGGUCAUGCCUCUGGUAUGUACUGGUCUCACUGAUUCCUCCUUCCUUAUGAACCGUAAUGCCAUUAAUUUGGUGUUGCGGGGAAUUUGGACUGUUACUUUGAAAAAAUUAGAGUGUUUAAAGCAAGCUAACGCUUGGAUACAUUAGCAUGGAAUAAUGAAAUAGGACGUUCGAUCUUAUUUUGUUGGUUUCUAGGAUUGACGUAAUGAUUAAUAGGGAUAGUUGGGGCCAUUAGUAUUCAAUUGUCAGAGGUGAAAUUCUUGGAUUUAUUGAAGACUAACUACUGCGAAAGCAUUUGCCAAGGAUGUUUUCAUUAAUCAAGAACGAAAGUUAGGGGAUCGAAUACGAUCAGAUACCGUCGUAGUCUUAACCAUAAACUAUGCCGACUAGGGAUCGGAUGAUGUUAAUUUUUUAAUGACUCAUUCGGCGCCUUACGGGAAACA
RNAcentral lists this ribosomal RNA (553 nucleotides) under uncultured Glomus. RNAcentral describes it as "SSU rRNA". It matches the Rfam family "Eukaryotic small subunit ribosomal RNA", at positions 539 to 1099 of the family's 1831-position model. The record is from RNAcentral. Lineage: Eukaryota; Fungi; Glomeromycota; Glomeromycetes; Glomerales; Glomeraceae.